Long non-coding RNA from Mastomys coucha (southern multimammate mouse), 264 nucleotides. RefSeq lists it as uncharacterized. The record is from RefSeq and is a predicted model, not a curated record. NCBI's taxonomy places the organism in Eukaryota, Metazoa, Chordata, Mammalia, Rodentia, Muridae. The transcript is spliced from 2 exons.
UCCCACAAUGGAGAAGGCAUAAUGAGGCUUCCAGCCUAUCCUGGCGCUCUCCAAUGGCUCUGCUGCCAGGAGCCGGAAGAUUCCUGUAGAUGGCGUUAUGGAGUAUGCCCCUGGUUUAGCCAUUUGGUGCAAAUCAGCUUCAGGUUUUGCAGAUCAAAUCCAGGCAUACUAGUGGGCUUAUUUUGCCCCAGAAGCAAAUACGCUGGAUAUGUUGGCUUAUGUUGGAAAUGGCCAGUGGUGGGCUUACCUGCUUCCAUUCAUUGA